This 73-nucleotide transfer RNA is filed under the name Paramuricea clavata. It matches the Rfam family "tRNA". Rfam says of the family: Transfer RNA (tRNA) molecules are approximately 80 nucleotides in length. Their secondary structure includes four short double-helical elements and three loops (D, anti-codon, and T loops). Lineage: Eukaryota; Metazoa; Cnidaria; Anthozoa; Malacalcyonacea; Plexauridae. The record is from Rfam by way of RNAcentral.
GACCGCGUAGCUCAGUUGGCAGAGCAUUGGGCUAGCAUUCCAAAGGUCGUAGGUUCGAUUCCCACCGUGGCCG